CGUCCAGUGGUUUAGUGGUAAAAUCCAACGUUGCCAUCGUUGGGCCCCGAGUUCGAUUCUCGGCUGGACGA
Thalassiosira oceanica is the source of this 71-nucleotide transfer RNA. It matches the Rfam family "tRNA". From Rfam's summary of the family: Transfer RNA (tRNA) molecules are approximately 80 nucleotides in length. Their secondary structure includes four short double-helical elements and three loops (D, anti-codon, and T loops). Lineage: Eukaryota; Bacillariophyta; Thalassiosirophyceae; Thalassiosirales; Thalassiosiraceae. The record is from Rfam.